AUACGAAGGUCCCAAGCGUUAUUCGGAAUCACUGGGCGUAAAGAGUACGUAGGCGGUGUGGUAAGUCAGGUGUGAAAUCCCGAAGCUCAACUUCGGAACUGCAUCCGAUACUGCCAGACUAGAGUAAUGGAGAGGCAGGUGGAAUUCUCGGUGUAGCAGUGAAAUGCGUGGAUAUCGAGAGGAAGACCAAUGGAGAAGGCAGCCUGCUGGACAUUUACUGACGCUGAGGUACGAAGGCUAGGGGAGCGAAAGGGAUUAGAAACCCCUGUAGUCC
This 274-nucleotide ribosomal RNA is filed under the name uncultured bacterium. Its description in RNAcentral is "partial 16S ribosomal RNA". It matches the Rfam family "Bacterial small subunit ribosomal RNA", at positions 523 to 796 of the family's 1533-position model. The record is from RNAcentral.